UGCUAACCACACCAAAUCUUAGCAUCAAAGGAGACAUGAAAUCUAAGCAAAACAGAAUUAACGUCCUGCGUAGGUUGAUUCUGAUGCUCGGUAGUUUAUCAGGGUCACCCAAAAAAAUGGAUAAUUCCUCAGAACCAUGAAUGUCAGAGAUAAAAUUUGUUGCCGCCAACUGAAGAGUCAGGAAUCCAACUUGAGCGAGCAAACUACAUUCAGAUCUCAGAACUGAUGAAGCACCGUACACUCCACUACUCCAGUGACUCUCAUCCAUGACCUUGGCGGUUUCCAAACUGAAAUUGCAGAUUAUGCAGAAGCAGCAGCUCCUAGCUCUCCAUCGCGGGGUUCACCGCAGCAGCCAUCCCCCCAUCCAAGGACGAGAUCACCAGACUUUGUGCGUGAGAGCUGCCAGAAGAUAGCAUAGUUCCAACUGGUACCGUGCAAACAGCCCAAACCACUCGCUCACUGGCUCGUCCGCCUCAGGGCGGAUCAACAUAGAACCAAAUGUUCCAAUGAAAAAACAUAAAACUCAAUGUUUAUCUUAUGAACUGUUUGUCAAAGAGCUCUCAAAGAAAGCACAGAAAGCAAACAACAUCUGGUGGAGGAAGUGAAGACAUAAGAUAUACAUGGGCUCCAGCACUAUGCAUGCACUGAUAUAAACAUAUAGAUGAAAAAAAGGACUGAUAUAAACACAUGGAUACAAGAGAACUUAACAUCGAUUACAAUGUGGCAAUAACAAAAGUUACACUAGGAUUUUAAUAGAACAGAAUUUUGAACAACUUGAGAUCAAUGGGCAAACCUAGAUAACCUAAGGUGGUGCAAAUGCAACAUACAUACCAUAUAACUCACCAUCUAUACUAACUCAAUCUACACAUCUAAUAGGCAAUGUAAGCUAUCAGCACUCUUUGCAUACAGAUAACAUGCAAGAUGCAUACUGCAAUCACCAAAGCACAUAAAAGGAGAAGAUAAGUCUAAGCAGACAGACCUGGAGUAUAGGUGGGCGCAUCGAGUUGGUACACACUGGGCAUUCGAGCAAAUCAUUCAAGCCACACAUCGAUGACAAUGCAACAUUGGCUAGCGAUGCCGAUGUAGACCACGGUUUACUUGCAGAGUCUACGUCAAGCCUGAUACCCCCAAUCGACUCAGAAAGCCCAUUGUCAUCUCCACAGUCCGACUCGGGGACUACAGUCACAAUGCUGCUUCCCGGUGCCAUUGUAAAAAGCUCCUUUCAGGUCCGGAAGUAGUACAAACCAUCAGCAGCCCACCACUCCAUUGUUUUCCUGCUAACCACACCAAAUCUUAGCAUCAAAGGAGACAUGAAAUCUAAGCAAAACAGAAUUAACGUCCUGCGUAGGUUGAUUCUGAUGCUCGGUAGUUUAUCAGGGUCACCCAAAAAAAUGGAUAAUUCCUCAGAACCAUGAAUGUCAGAGAUAAAAUCUGUUGCCGCCAACUGAAGAGUCAGGAAUCCAACUUGAGCGAGCAAACUACA
This 1483-nucleotide long non-coding RNA is filed under the name Zea mays. RNAcentral describes it as "long non-coding RNA (ZMAY_LNC005625)". The record is from RNAcentral. Lineage: Eukaryota; Viridiplantae; Streptophyta; Magnoliopsida; Poales; Poaceae.